GCGAGAAAUCAAACUUCGAACAGGACAAGCCCGAAGCCCGCUUCUCCGGGAGACGGGGUGCCACAAUUGCAAGGAUGCUGAAAUGAGACCUUUUAUGUCAGAGACUACUCGGCCUCCACUCUAAAAUGACUUGGUUGAUGGAAGAACUGAUUCCCUGAGGAGGGGAAAGAUUCAGGGAAGAGCCUGUCCUGGGUAAUGAGAAGAACAUUGAAAAGAGCAUCACAUCAGAAUAUCGAGGUGGGCCUGGAAGUUGGUGGGAGUGUGGCCUGGAUGUGGAAGGCGGGACCUGUCUUUGGCUCACCUGCCUUCCCACAGCUCACCUGGAGCUGUGGCACCAGCAUUAGAGCCCGGUCAUGGAGUGUGGUGCCCUCAGACUGCUGUCACACCACCUCUGUGAUGGAGAACAAGUUCAGCAGCCUUCAGUAGACAUACAAGCUGGACAGCCAGGGCUUCUGGCCAACCAGACGCAGCAAGAUGGAAUUCCACUGCAAAGUGUACAGCAACUUAGUAUGUGGAGAUGAACAGCAGCAAGGUGUUUUUAAUGGCAUGCCCUAUGCCACCAUGCUCAGGGGAGAUGCUGCUGCUUGCCAGAAGCAUGGGGAUGGCAGGCCUGAGGCUCCACUUCACUGAACUCUACCAUCAUUAUAGAAGUUUUGGAGUAGCCUACGAAAGACAGAAUCAUGUCAUUGGUCAGAAGACAAAAUCCUGUACAGUGAGUAGUUCUCACUGUAGAUAUGUAGAUUUAUUACCCUAAAAACAAUGCUAAUUUGGCAUUGGUUCAUGUAGCACCUGCUAUGAACAAAUGCCUAAAAUUAGAAGCAGUUUCUCCUAAAGUAAGAUUACAUGAGGCCAGGCGUGG
RNAcentral lists this long non-coding RNA (859 nucleotides) under Homo sapiens (human). RNAcentral describes it as "HSALNT0385527". The record is from RNAcentral. Lineage: Eukaryota; Metazoa; Chordata; Mammalia; Primates; Hominidae.